RNAcentral lists this ribosomal RNA (403 nucleotides) under uncultured bacterium. RNAcentral's name for it is "partial 16S ribosomal RNA". It matches the Rfam family "Bacterial small subunit ribosomal RNA", at positions 28 to 526 of the family's 1533-position model. The record is from RNAcentral.
GACGAACGCUGGCGGCGUGCCUAAUACAUGCAAGUCGAACGCAGUGGGGACGGGUGAGUAACACGUGGGUAACCUCCCAUCAGAGGGGAUACCACUUGGAAACAGGUGCUAAACGGGUACUGAUGGAUGGACCCGCGGUGCCUUAGCUAGGUGGUGAGGUAACGGCUCACCAAGGCCACGAUCCAUAGCCGACCGGAGAGGGUGAUCGGCCACACUGGAACUGAGACACGGCCCAGACUCCUACGGGAGGCAGCAGUAGGGAAUCUUGGGCAAUGGACGAAAGUCUGACCGAGCAACGCCGCGUGAGUGAAGAAGGUUUUCGGAUCGUAAAACGCUGUUGUUAGAGAAGCGGUAUCUAACCAGAAAGCCACGGCUAACUACGUGCCAGCAGCCGCGGUAAUUC